RNAcentral lists this ribosomal RNA (507 nucleotides) under uncultured bacterium. RNAcentral describes it as "bacterial SSU rRNA". It matches the Rfam family "Bacterial small subunit ribosomal RNA", at positions 18 to 518 of the family's 1533-position model. The record is from RNAcentral.
ACUGGCUCAGGAUGAACGCUAGCGGCAGGCUUAACACAUGCAAGUCGAGGGGCAGCGGGGUGUAGCAAUACAUUGCCGGCGACCGGCGGAUGGGUGCGUAACGCGUAUGCAACCUACCUUAUACAGGGGAAUAACCUUUCGAAAGGGAGACUAACACCCCAUGGUAUUGAUUUAAGGCAUCUUAGAUUAAUUAAAUAUUUAUAGGUAUAAGAUGGGCAUGCGUAUGAUUAGCUAGUUGGUAAGGUAACGGCUUACCAAGGCGACGAUCAUUAGGGGUUCUGAGAGGAAGGUCCCCACACUGGUACUGAGACACGGACCAGACUCCUACGGGAGGCAGCAGUGAGGAAUAUUGGUCAAUGGGCGCAAGCCUGAACCAGCCAUGCCGCGUGCCAGGAAGACGGCCUUAUGGGUUGUAAACUGCUUUUACAUAAGACUAACCGUAUAUUUGCGAAUAUACCUGAAUGUAUUAUGAGAAUAAGGAUCGGCUAACUCCGUGCCAGCAGCCGC